CAUGGGGUUUUGAUGGUGGUCACUCAUGAUGGGAUUAGCCUCUCCUUCUUUUUCUCUCUUAUUCUGCCUCUUAUUCCUUCCCUUCAGCCACCAUAUGUGAGAACAUAGCAAGAAGAGAAAGACUGAUGCAAGUCAAGAAUGUCUUUGCUGGGAACUCAAUUGGCCACCACCUUGAUGUUGCAUACUCUCCAGUCUAUGACAACCUGUGGGACUAAGAGAUCCAUGCAUGAUCUCGAACGUCUUAUUGGCAAGCCAGAAGGUGGAAGACUGGCGAUGUCUGAACCUAACAUGUGUAGCUUCAGACACAAGAGAUGAGUGUCAUCAGGUUCCAAGGGUGAAAACAGGGCGGCAGGCUCCCUGCCUGUUUUGGCCUGCAGAUAUGGAUAUGGAUGAGGUUACAAUAGAGGACAUGGCCCAGGCUGUGAAAAUAUGGAUAAAACAAGAAAGGAAAGAAGAUAAGAAAGUAUGAAAAUUCAAAAUCCAAAGGAAAG
Molecule: long non-coding RNA, 491 nt
Filed under: Capra hircus (goat)
Lineage: Eukaryota; Metazoa; Chordata; Mammalia; Artiodactyla; Bovidae
Description: lncRNA (ENSCHIG00000002386.1)
Source: RNAcentral